CGCGUAGGUGGAUUACUAAGUCAGAUGUGAAAGCCCAGGGCUCAACCUUGGAACUGCAUUUGAUACUGGUAGUCUUGAGUACAGUAGAGGGAGGUGGAAUUUCAGGUGUAGCGGUGAAAUGCGUAGAUAUCUGAAGGAACAUCAGUGGCGAAGGCGGCCUUCUGGACUGAUACUGACACUGAGGUGCGAAAGCGUGGGGAGCAAACA
Molecule: ribosomal RNA, 207 nt
Filed under: uncultured bacterium
Lineage: Bacteria
Description: partial 16S ribosomal RNA
Rfam family: Bacterial small subunit ribosomal RNA
Source: RNAcentral